CAGUAGCCGCGGGAAUACGGAGGGUGCAAGCGUUAAUCGGAAUUACUGGGCGUAAAGCGCACGCAGGCGGUCUGUCAAGUCGGAUGUGAAAUCCCCGGGCUCAACCUGGGAACUGCAUCCGAAACUGGCAGGCUAGAGUCUUGUAGAGGGGGGUAGAAUUCCAGGUGUAGCGGUGAAAUGCGUAGAGAUCUGGAGGAAUACCGGUGGCGAAGGCGGCCCCCUGGACAAAGACUGACGCUCAGGUGCGAAAGCGUGGGGAGCAAACAGGAUUAGAUACCCGCGUAGUCCCUGUCUCUUAUAC
RNAcentral lists this ribosomal RNA (301 nucleotides) under uncultured bacterium. RNAcentral's name for it is "partial 16S ribosomal RNA". It matches the Rfam family "Bacterial small subunit ribosomal RNA", at positions 509 to 807 of the family's 1533-position model. The record is from RNAcentral.